AGAAAUCACUGCUACUAAGAUACUUUAUGAGACAGAUUGAUGAGUCUACAGAUGUGUUUCUGGUCCCCAAAUGAGAAGCAGCAAAUGAACCACAGUGAUUCAUUUCCAUAAUAAACGUGCUGUUUUACUAUGAGCAUUAAUUAGCAUCACCACCACCACAAACUACCAUGACUGUUACAUUGAUUUUCUGUUGCUUUGUAUUGACAUUCAUGAGGACUUUUCUACAUCACAUCCAACUCAUCUGAAAACACAAGCCUCCAGGUUCCAGAUGCUACCCUGAUGCCAACUGGACUUCCCAGGGCAGACGACCCCACCAAUAUGUCCUGGAGCCUCACCUCCCCAGAUGCUUACCCCACUAGGGAAAGAAAGAGACAGGCUGGGAGUAUGGAUCCACCUGUCAACACCCAUGGUCAGCAGGGAAGUAAUUACGGAAGCCAG
Molecule: long non-coding RNA, 438 nt
Organism: Erinaceus europaeus (western European hedgehog)
Lineage: Eukaryota; Metazoa; Chordata; Mammalia; Eulipotyphla; Erinaceidae
Exons: 3
Source: RefSeq, a predicted model, not a curated record